RNAcentral lists this unclassified non-coding RNA (371 nucleotides) under Hevea brasiliensis (rubber tree). The record is from RNAcentral. Lineage: Eukaryota; Viridiplantae; Streptophyta; Magnoliopsida; Malpighiales; Euphorbiaceae.
GAAAGCCCCAAAAGCAUCAGGUCCUUCAAAGCUGUUCAGAGGAAUUGCAGCAAACGGAUCGAAGGUGGUAUUAUCUUCAGGCUGAGUGUUAGGUGUCUUUGCUUCAAGAGUCGAGGAAAAUUGAGACCCCCCCAUGAGGUCUAUGUUCGAGGUAAAUGCAGCAGGAAAGGCAGGUUGAGUAGCAAACAGAUCAAUGUUGUUCUGAGUAUGGGAACCCUCUGUUGCUUCAGCAAGAGGUGGCACUGAUUCAAAAGCAACAUCAGCAAAGAGAUCAUCUUCAGGUGUAACAGCAGUGUUUAAGAGAGUUGCUUCCCUUGGAACUGGGGCUGGAGCAUCCAUGAGAUCACCUACCAAGCUUUCUCCAAAGAGAU